GGCGGGUGUACCCAAGGGGUUUAAGGCAGG
This 30-nucleotide transfer RNA is filed under the name Streptanthus maculatus. RNAcentral describes it as "partial tRNA-His". Lineage: Eukaryota; Viridiplantae; Streptophyta; Magnoliopsida; Brassicales; Brassicaceae. The record is from RNAcentral.